AAGUGUAAAUAUUAUUUGCCUGGGUACUAUUAGUUAAGAUCUUAAAACCCAAAGAAUUUGGCGGUACUCCAUUCCAUUCAGAGGAACCUACCCCGUGAUUGAUAGUACACGAUUAACUUUACUUAUUUAUUUGUUUGUAUAUCUCCGUUAUCAGAAAAUCUUUUUAGAGUUAUAAUUUUCAGAAUUCAUGAUUUUGAAGUAUUUCAGGUCAAGGUGCAGCUUAUAAUUAAGAGGAGGUGGGUUACAAUAAAUUUUGGUUUAUUACGGUUUCAAUAAUUAAAUAUUAUAGAUUAAGGUGGAUUUGAUAGUAAUUUGAUUUAUUUAAGUCUUUUGAUAUUGGUCUGGAGU
RNAcentral lists this ribosomal RNA (348 nucleotides) under Prionotropis hystrix. RNAcentral's name for it is "partial 12S ribosomal RNA". Lineage: Eukaryota; Metazoa; Arthropoda; Insecta; Orthoptera; Pamphagidae. The record is from RNAcentral.